Molecule: ribosomal RNA, 298 nt
Filed under: uncultured Glissomonadida
Lineage: Eukaryota; Cercozoa; Glissomonadida
Description: partial 18S ribosomal RNA
Rfam family: Eukaryotic small subunit ribosomal RNA (bases 104-298)
Source: RNAcentral
GACUUCUGGUUUAAUGCACCUGGCCCGCGGCCCACAAGGCCUGUGAGUGCCGGCGCGCGUUUACCAUCCUUCCAGCAACGGCUACCCUUAACUGGGCGGCUGGAACUGGAUCUUUUACUUUGAAAAAAUUAGAGUGUUUAAAGCAGGCGUUUGCUCUGAAUACAUUAGCAUGGAAUAAAAAUCUAGGACUUCGGUUCUAUUUUGUUGGUUUCUAUAACUGAAGUAAUGAUUGAUAGGGAUAGUUGGGGGUGCUAGUAUUGGCCGGUCAGAGGUGUGGAUUCGGUCAAGCGAAAGCAUU